CAGCAGCCGCGGUAAUACGUAGGGUGCGAGCGUUAUCCGGAAUCAUUGGGCGUAAAGAGCUCGUAGGCGGUUCAACAAGUCGGCUGUGAAAGUCCGGGGCUCAACCCCGGAAUUGCAGUCGAUACUGUUGUGACUUGAGUCCGGUAGAGGAGAAUGGAAUUCCCGGUGUAGCGGUGGAAUGCGCAGAUAUCGGGAGGAACACCAGUAGCGAAGGCGGUUCUCUGGGCCGGCACUGACGCUGAGGAGCGAAAGCGUGGGGAGCAAACAGGAUUAGAUACCCUGGUAGUCCACGCCGUAAACGUUGGAUACUAGGUGUGGCGGUCUACCAACGACUGCCGUGCCGAAGCUAACGCAUUAAGUAUCCCGCCUGGGGAGUACGGCCGCAAGGCUAAAACUCAAAGGAAUUGAC
This 409-nucleotide ribosomal RNA is filed under the name uncultured bacterium. RNAcentral's name for it is "bacterial SSU rRNA". It matches the Rfam family "Bacterial small subunit ribosomal RNA", at positions 509 to 914 of the family's 1533-position model. The record is from RNAcentral.